GAUGAACGCUAGCGGGAGGCUUAACACAUGCAAGUCGAGGGGCAGCAUAGGGUAGCAAUACUCUGAUGGCGACCGGCAAACGGGUGAGUAACGCGUAUGCAACCUACCCUGUACAGGGGGAUAACCCGGAGAAAUUCGGACUAAUAUCCCGUAAUAAUAUCCGGAGGCAUCUUUGGAUAUUUAAAGUUCCGACGGUACGGGAUGGGCAUGCGUAACAUUAACUGGUUGGUAAGGUAACGGCUUACCAAGGCUAUGAUGUUUAGGGGUCCUGAGAGGGUGGUCCCCCACACUGGUACUGAGACACGGACCAGACUCCUACGGGAGGCAGCAGUGAGGAAUAUUGGUCAAUGGGCGCAAGCCUGAACCAGCCAUCCCGCGUGCAGGAAGACGGCCCUAUGGGUUGUAAAACUGCUUUUUCCAGGGAGAGAAACUUACGCACGUGUUGCGUGACUGACGGUACCCUGGGAAUAAGCAUCGGCUAACUCCGUGCCAGCAGCCGCGGUAAAACGUCUA
RNAcentral lists this ribosomal RNA (513 nucleotides) under uncultured bacterium. RNAcentral's name for it is "bacterial SSU rRNA". It matches the Rfam family "Bacterial small subunit ribosomal RNA", at positions 28 to 531 of the family's 1533-position model. The record is from RNAcentral.